GUUUGAGUUGUCUAUUAUUACAAGGGUGGGUAUUUGCCUAUUUAAGGCCAAGGUUUCCCAACUGCUAAUGCAUGUGCUCAGUGGUUAUUAUAAGGGUGGGUAUGUGCUUAUUUUAGGCCAAGGUUUCCCAACUGGUGAUGCAUGUGCUCAAAAAAUAAAAAUAAAAAUUGAAUAAGCAAUAAAGUGUCAUAACUUUACGGGUAAAUGGGUAUCAUUCUUCAAAAGGUGGGUUUUGUUGUAGGGCAGGUACUGUUAAAAUAGGGUAGAUUCAAGAUGUACGGGUUUAUAAUGUUUGUUUUAUGACAUAAGUCAAAGGGUGGUUUGUAAUGGUAUUUAUUAAUUAAUGACUUUUUGUCAUAAAAAAGCAUAAUGAGCUUAAUGCUUUAGACGCACCACUAGAUGUCAGUAAAGCAUAAUGAGCUUAAUGCUUUAGAGGCACCACUAGGGGUCAGUGUGCUAACUCAUGCUUCUGGCAGUGACAUCACAGGCCAGCCUACUUACUGGAUAAAACCAAAUAGUAGGAGGAAUUGAGCCUCCUUUUUCCUUUGCUUGCAUUGAUUGAACAUGUAGCUGUGUGUAUAGCUCCAGCCAAACAGGCUGGAGCCUUGUAAGUAAUCUAUUAUAACAGCUAGCAACUGUUAUAGCCUUUUGUAAGUAAUGUUGUAGUUUUGUAUUGUGUAAUUAUUGUGGUAAAUUGACAUUCUGC
Non-coding RNA from Pelobates cultripes (western spadefoot toad), 706 nucleotides. Lineage: Eukaryota; Metazoa; Chordata; Amphibia; Anura; Pelobatidae. The record is from the annotation of a GenBank genome assembly.